This 253-nucleotide ribosomal RNA is filed under the name uncultured bacterium. RNAcentral's name for it is "partial 16S ribosomal RNA". It matches the Rfam family "Bacterial small subunit ribosomal RNA", at positions 524 to 776 of the family's 1533-position model. The record is from RNAcentral.
UACGUAGGGUGCGAGCGCUAAUCGGAAUUACUGGGCGUAACGCGUGCGCAGGCGGUUUUGUAAGCCAGAUGUGAAAGCCCCGGGCUCAACCUGGGAAUGGCAUUUGGGACUGCAAGGCUUGAGUGCGGCAGAGGAGACUGGAAUUCCUGGUGUAGCAGUGAAAUGCGUAGAUAUCAGGAGGAAUACCGAUGGCGAAGGCAGGUCUCUGGGCUGACACUGACGCUCAUGCACGAAAGCGUGGGGAGCAAACAGG